Molecule: ribosomal RNA, 275 nt
Filed under: uncultured bacterium
Lineage: Bacteria
Description: partial 16S ribosomal RNA
Rfam family: Bacterial small subunit ribosomal RNA
Source: RNAcentral
AUACGUAGGGGCCAAACGUUGUCCGGAUUUAUUGGGCGUAAAGGGCUCGUAGGCGGUUCAACAAGUCGGUCGUGAAAACCCGGGGCUCAACCCCGGGACGCCGGUCGAAACUGUUGUGACUAGGGUCCGGUAGAGGUGAGUGGAAUUCUCGGUGUAGCGGUGGAAUGCGCAGAUAUCGAGAGGAACACCAGUAGCGAAGGCGGCUCACUGGGCCGGUACCGACGCUGAGGAGCGAAAGCAUGGGGAGCAAACAGGAUUAGAUACCCGAGUAGUCC